Molecule: ribosomal RNA, 492 nt
Filed under: uncultured bacterium
Lineage: Bacteria
Description: partial 16S ribosomal RNA
Rfam family: Bacterial small subunit ribosomal RNA
Source: RNAcentral
AGUGAACGCUGGCGGUAGGCCUAACACAUGCAAGUCGAACGGCAGCACAGUAAGAGCUUGCUCUUACGGGUGGCGAGUGGCGGACGGGUGAGGCAUACAUCGGAAUCUACUUUUUCGUGGGGGAUAACGUAGGGAAACUUACGCUAAUACCGCAUACGUCCUACGGGUGAAAGCAGGGGAGCUUCGGACCUUGCGCGAUUGAAUGAGCCGAUGUCGGAUUAGCUAGUUGGCGGGGUAAAGGCCCACCAAGGCGACGAUCCGUAGCCGGUCUGAGAGGAUGAUCCGCCACACUGGAACUGAGACACGGUCCAGACUCCUACGGGAGGCAGCAGUGGGGAAUAUUGGACAAUGGGCGAAAGCCUGAUCCAGCCAUACCGCGUGGGUGAAGAAGGCCUUCGGGUUGUAAAGCCCUUUUGUUGGGAAAGAAAAGCAGCAGGUGAAUACCCCGCUGUUCUGACGGUACCCAAAGAAUAAGCACCGGCUAACUUCGUG